Molecule: ribosomal RNA, 333 nt
Filed under: uncultured eukaryote
Lineage: Eukaryota
Description: SSU rRNA
Rfam family: Eukaryotic small subunit ribosomal RNA
Source: RNAcentral
CCUUAGAUGUUCUGGGCCGCACGCGCGCUACACUGAUCAAGUCAACGAGUUUACAACCUUGGCCGGAAGGUCUGGGUAAUCUUUUGAAACUUGAUCGUGCUGGGGAUAGUCCAUUGCAAUUAUUGGACUUCAACGAGGAAUUCCUAGUAAGCGUGAGUCAUCAGCUCGCGUUGAUUACGUCCCUGCCCUUUGUACACACCGCCCGUCGCUACUACCGAUUGAAUGGCUUAGUGAGGCUUUCGGAUUGGAUCUGAGCAGCUGGCAACAGCAGCUUGGAACUGAAAAGUUAUCCAAACUUGGUCAUUUAGAGGAAGUAAAAGUCGUAACAAGGUU